UACGUAGGGUGCAAGCGUUGUCCGGAAUUAUUGGGCGUAAAGAGCUUGUAGGCGGUUUGUCGCGUCUGCUGUGAAAUUUCGGGGCUCAACCCCGAACUUGCAGUGGGUACGGGCAGACUAGAGUGUGGUAGGGGAGACUGGAAUUCCUGGUGUAGCGGUGAAAUGCGCAGAUAUCAGGAGGAACCCCGAUGGCGAAGGCAGGUCUCUGGGCCAUAACUGACGCUGAGAAGCGAAAGCAUGGGGAGCGAACAGG
Molecule: ribosomal RNA, 253 nt
Filed under: uncultured bacterium
Lineage: Bacteria
Description: partial 16S ribosomal RNA
Rfam family: Bacterial small subunit ribosomal RNA
Source: RNAcentral